RNAcentral lists this ribosomal RNA (294 nucleotides) under uncultured microorganism. RNAcentral describes it as "partial 16S ribosomal RNA". It matches the Rfam family "Bacterial small subunit ribosomal RNA", at positions 505 to 796 of the family's 1533-position model. The record is from RNAcentral.
GUGCCAGCAGCCGCGGUAAUACGUAGGUGGCAAGCGUUGUCCGGAAUUAUUGGGCGUAAAGCGCGCGCAGGCGGCCUCUUAAGUCUGAUGUGAAAGCCCCCGGCUCAACCGGGGAGGGCCAUUGGAAACUGGGAGGCUUGAGUAUAGGAGAGAAGAGUGGAAAUUCCACGUGUAGCGGUGAAAUGCGUAGAGAUGUGGAGGAACACCAGUGGCGAAGGCGACUCUUUGGGCCUAUAACUGACGCUGAGGCGCGAAAGCGUGGGGAGCAAACAGGAUUAGAUACCCUGGUAGUCC